CGCGGGAGGGGCAACUUUGGCCAUGGCCCCCGAGAAUCUAGACAAACUUGGUCAUUUAGAGGUCGUAAAAGUCGCUAACAAGGUUUUCCGUAGGUGAACCUGCGGAAGGAUCAUUA
RNAcentral lists this ribosomal RNA (116 nucleotides) under Pichia sp. SCN-2006a. RNAcentral describes it as "partial 18S rRNA". It matches the Rfam family "Eukaryotic small subunit ribosomal RNA", at positions 1716 to 1831 of the family's 1831-position model. Lineage: Eukaryota; Fungi; Ascomycota; Pichiomycetes; Pichiales; Pichiaceae. The record is from RNAcentral.